Molecule: transfer RNA, 75 nt
Filed under: Sulfurovum sp. AR
Lineage: Bacteria; Pseudomonadati; Campylobacterota; Epsilonproteobacteria; Campylobacterales; Sulfurovaceae
Also listed under: 12 other names
Description: tRNA-Gln
Rfam family: tRNA
About the family: Transfer RNA (tRNA) molecules are approximately 80 nucleotides in length. Their secondary structure includes four short double-helical elements and three loops (D, anti-codon, and T loops).
Source: RNAcentral
UGGGGUAUCGCCAAGCGGUAAGGCAACGGUUUUUGGUACCGUUAUUCGGGGGUUCGAAUCCCUCUACCCCAUCCA